UACGUAGGGUGCAAGCGUUGUCCGGAAUUAUUGGGCGUAAAGCGUGCGCAGGCGGUUUUGUAAGUCAGAUGUGAAAUCCCCGGGCUUAACCUGGGAACUGCGUUUGAAACUACAAGGCUAGAGUGUGGCAGAGGGGGGUGGAAUUCCACGUGUAGCAGUGAAAUGCGUAGAGAUGUGGAGGAACACCGAUGGCGAAGGCAGCCCCCUGGGUUAACACUGACGCUCAGGCACGAAAGCGUGGGGAGCAAACAGG
RNAcentral lists this ribosomal RNA (253 nucleotides) under uncultured bacterium. RNAcentral describes it as "partial 16S ribosomal RNA". It matches the Rfam family "Bacterial small subunit ribosomal RNA", at positions 524 to 776 of the family's 1533-position model. The record is from RNAcentral.